This 208-nucleotide ribosomal RNA is filed under the name uncultured bacterium. Its description in RNAcentral is "partial 16S ribosomal RNA". It matches the Rfam family "Bacterial small subunit ribosomal RNA", at positions 568 to 774 of the family's 1533-position model. The record is from RNAcentral.
CGUGUAGGUGGCUUGACACGUCUGUCGCUGAAAUCCCCCGGCUUAACCGGGGAACGGGCGCGGAUACGAUCAGGCUUGAGGGAUGUAGGGGGAUCGGGAACUUCCGGUGGAGCGGUGAAAUGCGUUGAGAUCGGAAGGAACGCCCGUGGCGAAAGCGCGGUCCUGGACAUUUCCUGACACUGAGACGCGAAAGCUAGGGGAGCAAACG